RNAcentral lists this ribosomal RNA (893 nucleotides) under uncultured bacterium. RNAcentral describes it as "bacterial SSU rRNA". It matches the Rfam family "Bacterial small subunit ribosomal RNA", at positions 8 to 916 of the family's 1533-position model. The record is from RNAcentral.
AGAGUUUGAUCAUGGCUCAGGAUGAACGCUGGCGGCGUGCCUAAUACAUGCAAGUCGAGCGAACCACUUCGGUGGUGAGCGGCGAACGGGUGAGUAACACGUAGGUGAUCUGCCCAUCAGACGGGGACAACGAUUGGAAACGAUCGCUAAUACCGGAUAGGACGAAAGUUUAAAGGUGCUUCUGGCACCGCUGAUGGAUGAGCCUGCGGCGCAUUAGCUAGUUGGUAGGGUAAAGGCCUACCAAGGCGACGAUGCGUAGCCGACCUGAGAGGGUGAACGGCCACACUGGGACUGAGACACGGCCCAGACCCCUACGGGAGGCAGCAGUAGGGAAUCUUCGGCAAUGGGCGAAAGCCUGACCGAGCAACGCCGCGUGAAUGAUGAAGGCCUUCGGGUUGUAAAAUUCUGUUAUAAGGGAAAAACGACUUUAGUAGGAAAUGGCUAGAGUGUGACGGUACCUUAUGAGAAAGCCACGGCUAACUACGUGCCAGCAGCCGCGGUAAUACGUAGGUGGCGAGCGUUAUCCGGAAUUAUUGGGCGUAAAGAGCGCGCAGGUGGUUGAUUAAGUCUGAUGUGAAAGCCCACGGCUUAACCGUGGAGGGUCAUUGGAAACUGGUCGACUUGAGUGCAGAAGAGGGAAGUGGAAUUCCAUGUGUAGCGGUGAAAUGCGUAGAGGUAUGGAGGAACACCAGUGGCGAAGGCGGCUUCCUGGUCUGUAACUGACACUGAGGCGCGAAAGCGUGGGGAGCAAACAGGAUUAGAUACCCUGGUAGUCCACGCCGUAAACGAUGAGUGCUAAGUGUUGGGGGUCGAACCUCAGUGCUGAAGUUAACGCAUUAAGCACUCCGCCUGGGGAGUACGGUCGCAAGACUGAAACUCAAAGGAAUUGACGG